GAUGAACGCUAGCGGCAGGCCUAACACAUGCAAGUCGAGGGGUAGAAGGAGCUUGCUCCUUUGAGACCGGCGCACGGGUGCGUAACGCGUAUGCAAUCUACCUUUUACAGAGGGAUAGCCCAGAGAAAUUUGGAUUAAUACCUCAUAGUAUAUUAGAAUGGCAUCAUUUUAAUAUUAAAGUCACAACGGUAAAAGAUGAGCAUGCGUCCCAUUAGUUAGUUGGUAAGGUAACGGCUUACCAAGACAAUGAUGGGUAGGGGUCCUGAGAGGGAGAUCCCCCA
Molecule: ribosomal RNA, 281 nt
Filed under: uncultured Bacteroidota bacterium
Lineage: Bacteria; Pseudomonadati; Bacteroidota
Description: uncultured Bacteroidetes bacterium partial 16S ribosomal RNA
Rfam family: Bacterial small subunit ribosomal RNA
Source: RNAcentral